Molecule: long non-coding RNA, 2602 nt
Organism: Anguilla rostrata (American eel)
Lineage: Eukaryota; Metazoa; Chordata; Actinopteri; Anguilliformes; Anguillidae
Exons: 3
Source: RefSeq, a predicted model, not a curated record
CCUUCUGAAGUUAUCCCAGCAUUAUUCUGCAGUUCCCGUUGAAUGUCUUCCCUUUUCAGUCCUGUUAUGUUCCCUUGCUCUGUGAGUCUGCGUGCAUGUCUUAAUCCUGCAGGUGGAGCUGAUUGCUCUAUCAAAAAUAUGCAAUGUGUUAGUCACGAAAAGACUGUUUACGAUUACAUACAUUUGGAUCCUUUGAUAUGCACACACAUUACAGCACCCAAAAAUACUUCUGGUACAUAAUUUGUUUACAUAUCACCAAAACAAACUUUUAUCUCCCAAAAUGUUUAUCAAAAUCCCUUACCUUUCGUUGGAGAGAAAGCAAGGGUCAUUCUGAGUGUUUAUCCUAAAAUACGUCACUCAAGCUGCACCACCUAACCAAAAAAAUAAAAUCUGUGUUACGUUUUGCCCUGCUCUGCCCUACUAAUGUAAAUGUGGUAAAAAGCAACCGGUGUUGAAGCAAGGCAUGUACAGUGAAUCUACGUACUCUGGUAUCGAUCAACCAAUGGAAAUAUUGUGACACUAUGACAUUUUCAUUGACAGCCCCCUAAUUAACAUAUGGAUUAAAAAAAUACAGAAAUAUAUUGUGGCACUGCACUGGGCGUGACGGUGCAGGCGGGGCGGCACAGAAAUACACAGACCGGAGGUUUGGGGAAAAAUAGCCCAACAGGGCCUUUUAUUUACCAAAAAUUAUAUACAAAAAAACCAAAGCAAACUCGACAACUAAAGUCUCUUGUCAGAAUUAACUUAAAGUAAAGCAACCAAAAUUAGGAGUAACGGUGUCCGGGAGACCGCUGAGGGGAUCCCUCUUCAAAGCAGGAAGAGGGAUGUGGUCCUGCGUCUCCACCGGAUUCUGCAAAGUAGGGGAAAAGUUAUCAACAGUUUUCAACAGCUCUCCUGCAGCCCAAAACCCCCUCUCCUCAAGGGAGACAAAAGGCCUCCUUUUAAGCUCCCAGCCAUCUCCCUGGAGUGGCAGCAGCUGUGUUGCCUCAUUGAUUGCAGGUGUGUUGACUGCAAAGGAGGGAGUUGAGGAAUGUCCAGUUUGCCGCUCUCCAGGGUCCUGUGGCUGGGCUUCAUAGUGGGGCGCUGUCCUGGGUCCUGAAGAGCUGGCCUGGUGGCAGGUUUUAGCUGAUGCCUAUAAGGUUGGGAGGAGCACUGUGGGGGCAUGCCCCGAUCCAUGCCACAAUAUAUAUAUACAGGCAUAAAUUAAUCAAAACAUAAAUAAGGAUAUAAGUAUAUACAGAAAUAAAUGAAUCAAGCAAUAAAUAAAUAUGGAAAUGAACAUCCACAGAAAUGAAUGAAUCAAGAAAUAAAUAUGGAAAUAAAUGCAAAUACCCAUUUGUCAGAUUUUGUCUAUUAAUUUAUUUGUACAUUCAUUAAUUUUUACAUUUUCUUGCUUUUGUAUUUAUUUAUUUAUACAUUAAUUCAUUUAUUGAGUCAUUUAUUUAUUUAUUAUUUUUACAUUUUUGGUCCUCCAUAUACCUGUAGUACCAGUCAAUGGCAAUAAUCAGUUGUGGUGUUUCUCUGCAGCCAGCAGAUGGCGCUGCAGUGUAUUUCAUUUGCCGCCUUGGUUACAUUAUUAGAUGAAGAUUGAAUGUUUUUAAAAUAUAAAGAUGUUUGUAGACUGAAGGUGAGGUAAAGUACACCAUAGUGAUCAUACUACUGCAGUUUCUUGUGUUAGCAAAUGAAAUAUGUUUGCAAUCAUGUUGUUUGCCAUGUGAUAUCAUCGCAACAUGGAACAGUUUUGUUAAUGAAAUCCUUGCAGGAAGCCUCCAACCUUGAGUUGAAUUGGCUCCUUAUUUUUAGUUAUUUUUUGUUAAUUGAGCCAAGUGAUGACCUUUUUUUUGUGGAUUAGUCAGAAUACUUUAUGAACAUAAUUAAUAUAAACUCUUCCUGUUUUUGUGUGUACUGUGUACAUCCCAGGAAUGCACGUACUGUACAAAUAGGAAAUUCCACAUUUAUCUGCUGCCAAGGUGCACAGUGUGACAAUUAGCAGUGAAUUUCAAUUGUGUGUGUGUGGUUGUAUGUGUGUGUGUCUGUGUGUGUGUGUGUGUCUGUGUGGUGUGUGUGUGUGUGUGUGUGUGUACAUGUGCAUGUUUGUGUGUGUGUGUGUGUGUGUGUGUGUGUGGUCUCUUCACAGGCUGGGUUGGUGUAAUCUCACAGAUGGCUGCUGUGAUGUUCUGGCCUCAGUCCUGCGCUCUCUUCACUCAGAGCUGAGAGAUCUGGAGCUCAGAGACAAUGAGCUGCAGGAUUCAGGAGUGAGAGCGCUCUCUGCUGGACUGGAGGACCCACAUUGUAAACUGCAGAGACUGGGGCUGUCAGGCUGUAGAGUCACACAGAGAGGCUGUAAUUCUCUGGCUUCAGCUCUGUGUUCAAACCCCUCACACCUGAGAGAGCUGGACCUGAGAUACAAUCACCCAGGAGACUCAGGAGUGAGAGCGCUGUCUGCUGCUAAACUGGACACACUCACACUGCUUGUGGACCAUGGAGGAGGGAACAGGACCAAACCAGGACCCAGGAAAUGUGAGUGUGUAUCGACACAGAACACUUUGCAUAGAUACACACUCUGCUGUGUGUGUGUGUGUGUGUGUGAGAGAGACUUCUC